Long non-coding RNA from Myotis davidii, 792 nucleotides. RefSeq lists it as uncharacterized. The record is from RefSeq and is a predicted model, not a curated record. Lineage: Eukaryota; Metazoa; Chordata; Mammalia; Chiroptera; Vespertilionidae. The transcript has 4 exons.
AGUUUCAGCACCCAGGACAGGAGCCUGUGGCUUCAGCACCUGGGAGAGCGUGAAUUCAGCACCAAGGACGGUGUCUGUGGGUUCAGCACCUGGGACAGCGCUCACGGUCCAGGAUCUGGGCUUGUCUGUCGAUUCAGCACCUAGGACAGCACCUGAGCUCAGCCCCUCGUUCAGUGGCUUGUAGAUCCAGCAACCAAGACAGUGCAUAUUCAGCACCAAGGACAGAAUCUAGGGAUUCAAGGCCUGGGGCCCCACCUGCUUUUCUGCUCUAGACAGAAAGGAGCAGGAGGUGGGGUAUGGGCGUGGAUUUCCGUGGUGAGGUUGGGUUUGUAGCGACAGGCAUGGAGGGUGAGGACCCUCCAUUAGGUGCACGCCUCUCUCCUCCCUCUGCUCGGCUGUCCCCUAUUCUUGCAUUACCGCUGCUCCUUGGGCUGAGCAGCGCCCCCGCCCACCUUGCUACCUGGCCGCCAGACUGUUGUCCAUUGACCUGGGGACAUACCUAAGCCCUCACCGGGCAGAAAACCAACCAACAGGUCAUGUAGCCGUGGAGGAGCCCGAGGGACUGAGCAGGGGCUGCAGAGUGACAGGAGCCCAGGUGCAGUGCUGACCUAGGAGAACAUGGCGCCAGGUGGCGGUGACAGAGGACAGACUCCCGGCCGCGGCUCUGGGGCACGGACGGAGGGAGGAAGACAGUCUCUUAGUUGGUGCUGUAAACAUCAGAUGGAUGGUUUCUAGCCUGCUCCCCAACCCCCCCUCGGGCUCCUGCACGCCCCACACUGGGGAUCGAGCCCA